RNAcentral lists this transfer RNA (73 nucleotides) under Alkalibacter saccharofermentans DSM 14828. It matches the Rfam family "tRNA". Rfam says of the family: Transfer RNA (tRNA) molecules are approximately 80 nucleotides in length. The record is from Rfam by way of RNAcentral. Lineage: Bacteria; Bacillati; Bacillota; Clostridia; Eubacteriales; Eubacteriaceae.
GUGCCCGUAGCUCAGUGGAUAGAGUGGCAGACUUCGAAUCUGUUCGUCGGGGGUUCGAAUCCCUCCGGGCACG